GAACGCUGGCGGCAGGCCUAACACAUGCAAGUCGAACGGUAACAGGAAGCAGCUUGCUGCUCGCUGACGAGUGGCGGACGGGUGAGUAAUGUCUGGGAAACUGCCUGAGUGGAGGGGAUAACUACUGGAAACGGUAGCUAAUACCGCAUAACGUCGCAAGACCAAAGAGGGGGACCUUCGGGCCUCUUGCCAUCAGAUGUGCCCAGAUGGGAUUAGCUUGUUGGUGGGGUAACGGCUCACCAAGGCGACGAUCCCUAGCUGGUCUGAGAGGAUGACCAGCCACGACUGGAACUGAGACACGGUCCAGACUCCUACGGGAGGCAGCAGUGGGGAAUAUUGCACAAUGGGCGCAAGCCUGAUGCAGCCAUGCCGCGUGUAUUGAAGAAGGCCUUCGGGUUGUAAAGUACUUUCAGCGGGGAGGAAGGUGUUGUGGUUAAUAACCGCAGCAAUUGACGUUACCCGCAGAAGAAGCACCGGCUAACUCCGUGCCAGCAGCAGC
This 499-nucleotide ribosomal RNA is filed under the name uncultured bacterium. RNAcentral describes it as "bacterial SSU rRNA". It matches the Rfam family "Bacterial small subunit ribosomal RNA", at positions 31 to 518 of the family's 1533-position model. The record is from RNAcentral.